RNAcentral lists this signal recognition particle RNA (99 nucleotides) under bacterium M21. RNAcentral describes it as "Bacterial small signal recognition particle RNA". It matches the Rfam family "Bacterial small signal recognition particle RNA". From Rfam's summary of the family: The signal recognition particle (SRP) is a universally conserved ribonucleoprotein involved in the co-translational targeting of proteins to membranes. Archaeal SRP consists of a 7S RNA and homologues of the eukaryotic SRP19 and SRP54 proteins. The record is from Rfam by way of RNAcentral.
UUGCGGGCGCUAUGCGAUAGUGAAUCGCCAACCGAGUCAGGUGCGGAAGCAAGCAGCUCUACGCGUAGGAGCUAUGCGCCGUAGUAAUACCUGUGGAUC